UUGAAAUUAAAGACAAUCAUCAACUCAUGUAUCAGGUUUAAUCAUCUAAGUUAGACUCUUUUGAUAUUUCUUUUUUAUUAUAAUAUCAUUUCUUUGGCUGACCAGAAAAAAGCAAAACAAAAGAAAAUUAGAAAAGCAAAAGUUUGGACUGAAUAGGAUCGGAGGAGAUGCAUUAUAAUAAUAGAGAUCUCUUGAGCUCCAUUUGAGCGUUCAGAGAUAGCAACUCGGAAACCAUUAUAUUACAUAUUUAAUUUAUUAUAGACCAUUAAUUUUGAGCUGCAGGCUACAGCUCUAGAUUAUUUAUUGGUGGGAUAAUAUAUAGCUACACACAGUAGAUGAUACUGUAAAGCAUGCAUGCAUCAAAAACAGAUAAUUAACGGUAGUAGUUCAUGGUGGAAGAGUUAAAACCACCCUUGAUAAAGCUUCCAUUUCCAUUCCCAUUGAAAGUACCACUGUUAUUUAUCGUGUGACCACCAUAGUAGUUGGCAGUGCUAUAACUAUUACGAUUGCCAGAGUUUGCACCACUGUUGAUCGUUGCACCAGCGAAAUUCUGGUUCCCGUUGCCAUGGUUAUUGAAUGAGUUUAUAGUACCAUGAUUCGAUCGACCUGACAUUCUGAUCUUAGUCUUAAAUUUCGCUCUUUAUAUAAUUGUUUUGGUAUUGGAUAUAUAGCCUUA
RNAcentral lists this long non-coding RNA (676 nucleotides) under Glycine max (soybean). RNAcentral's name for it is "long non-coding RNA (GMAX_LNC003414)". Lineage: Eukaryota; Viridiplantae; Streptophyta; Magnoliopsida; Fabales; Fabaceae. The record is from RNAcentral.